GCACAAAGGCCCUGAGGUGGAAAGAGGUCUGCAAGCGUGAACAACAGCAAGAAGCUCCAGUCUUUAAAAGCAACGCACUGGCCCAGGAACCACACAGGAGAACAGUCCAUGACCGUGUUCCAGACCUGGCCCAGAUAAGCUUUAUAAAAGAAAGGACUUUACAACAUAGUUUAUAAUAUUUAAAAUGCGCACCGUGUAUGCCGGAGGAGCAGAUGUGGAUCAGUUAGGCAGAGACGACUAAUAAAGGGUCAUGAUCACCUUUCCACAUCUGAUGUAAAUGAAUACACAUCGAAUGCAAAGGAGCAGGGACAAGUCUGGCCAAGAGUGGGGAAUAGUUGAAGCUGAGUGAUGGUGACAUGGGG
Molecule: long non-coding RNA, 362 nt
Filed under: Equus caballus (horse)
Lineage: Eukaryota; Metazoa; Chordata; Mammalia; Perissodactyla; Equidae
Description: lncRNA (ENSECAG00000053673.1)
Source: RNAcentral